CCAGGAACCUCGGUAUGCCACAGGCAUGGACUAAUUAAUUUUUUAAAAAAGCAGGAGGGACAGGGAGUUCCUGUCAUGGCUCAGUGGUUAACGAAUCCAACUGGGAACCAUGAGGUUUCAGGUUCGAUCCCUGGCCUCGCUCAGUGGGACUCUGAUUAGACCCCUAGCCUGAGAACCUCCAUAUGCCACAGGUGCGGGCUGCCCUAGAUAAGACAGUAAAUAAAUAAAAUGCCACCUUUAAAAAAAAAAAGGGCAGGAAGGACAGAAACCCAAUCCUCUCCAACUUCCCCGUCAAGCUCUAAAAUUCUCAGAUCCUGACAUUUCUGCUGUGGCACAACGGGCUAACAACCCAACAUUGUUUCUUUGGAGGCCCCAGUUCAGUCCCUGGCCAAGCCCAGUGGGAUAUGAGUCCAGCUGUGGCAUAGGUGGCAGCCAUGGGUCAGAUUCUAUCCCUGGCCUGGGGAGCUUCAUAUACCAUGGGGGUGACCAAAGAAAAAAAAUUAUAAAUAAAUAAAAUUCUCAGAUCCUAAUACGUUUACAGCAUGAUUCAGUUUACAAGGGUUUGAUCUGCAGUGACCUCUCAUUCACCUCCCCAAGCCCCCCCAUCCAGCAUUAGCACAGUAGGUGCUCCCUAAAAGUUUUUGAAACUAAACUGGCGCAUGGAAUUUCCCAUCGUGACUCAGCAGUAAUGAACUUGACUAAUAUCCAUGAGGACAAGGGUUCAGUCUCUGGCUCGAUUAGUGGGUUAAAGAUCCAGCGUUGCUAUGGAGCUCCGAUGUAGAUUGCAGACUAGGCUUGGAUCUGGUGUGGCUAGCUGCAGCUGCCAGCCUACACCACAGCCAUAGACAUGCAGGAUCCGAGCUGUAUCUGCAACCUAUGCUGCAAUUCACGGCAACGCCAGAUCCUUUAACCCACUGAGCAAGGCCAGGAAUCAAAACCGCAUCCUCAUGGAUACUAGUCAGGUUCGUAACACUGAGCCACAAUGGGAACUCCUUUUUUUUAAAGAUCUCACUUUUAAAGGGCCAGCUACAGGAGUUCCCUUGUGGUCCAGGGGGUUAAGAAUCUGGCAUUGUCACUGCAGUGUCUCAGGCUGCUGCUAUAGUCCAGGGUUGUUUUGUUUUUUGUUUUUUUUUUUUUUGCUUUUUAGGGCCAAACCAGUGGCAUAUGGAGAUUCCCAGGCUAGGGGCCAAAUUGGAGCUGUAGCUACCAGCCUAUGCCACAGACACAGCAAUGUCAGAUCCAAGCCAUGUCUGCAGCCCACACCACAGCUCACAGCAAGGCCAGAUCUUUAACCCACUGAGCAAGGCCAGGGAUCGAACCUGCGUGUCAGAUUCGUUUCCUCUGAGCCAUGACGGGAGCUCCUGUGGUCCCCGUUUGAUCCCUGCCCUGGGAACGUCCACAUGCUGCAAGCACAGGCAAAAAAAAAGGGGGGGGGGUGGCAGUUACAAAAAUUGACUAAAACCUUUACAACCAAAAUGAGAAAGCAUUAGCAGUGCAGCCCCCAGCAGCACAGGACUGAGCCUGGGCGACCUGCAAUUGUGUAUAGUGAAGCAUUCGAGGCCCCAGUCUGGAGACAAGCAUCCUGGGUUUAAAAUGUUGCCUCAGACCCCAGACUCCACACUCACGUGCUCACAUACACAUGAAUGUGGUCGGUGGCCCUGUGACCGUGGGCAGGUCUCUACUGCAGGAGUAACCGCAUCCACACAGCGUGGGCUGUGAGGAUGGCUGAGCGGUGACUGCUCUGAUCAGGGAACAGCCGACCUGGACCACGUCAAGAGGAGCAGAAGGGCAAGGCACUUCCAUUUCAUCGGCAUAAGAACUCUGGGGUGGACAGCACAAGAAACUUGGGCUCUGAGUUCUCUGCAAAGCGGGGCUCUUUUCCUGUAAAUGGAGUACCCGUUCUCAGGCAUGGAAAAGCACCUCCGCCUAAAAUUCUUUUUUUCUGGCCACAUCCACAGCAUGCAGAGUUCCCAGGCCAGAGAUCAAACCGAGCCACAGCAGCAAGCAGAGCCACGGCAGUGACACCACCAGAUCCUCAACCCGUUGCCCCACCCGGGAACUCCCUAAAACAGUUGUCAGUCACAGUGCCUGAGCUAUCACUUGAGUUACUCCUUAAGGCUAAGUCCUUUCAUCUCCCAGCAGAAUAACUGAAACUGAAGCCAGUGUCAAGCCUUGGGCUGCAUCGUUUAAUAGUACUUAUCACAUUAAUUUAGAAAAUUCAGAGUAGGAUCACCCCCCCCAGGGCAUAGAAUGGGAGACAGAAACAUUAAAAUAUUCCAGUAUAAACUGCAGCCUGAUGAUUUGCUGGAAAGCAGCUUGG
This 2320-nucleotide long non-coding RNA is filed under the name Sus scrofa (pig). RNAcentral's name for it is "lncRNA (ENSSSCG00040075450.1)". Lineage: Eukaryota; Metazoa; Chordata; Mammalia; Artiodactyla; Suidae. The record is from RNAcentral.